AGCUCCAAUAGCGUAUAUUAAAGUUGUUGCAGUUAAAACGCUCGUAGUUGAAUCUUGGGUCGGACGGCAGCUGCGGGACAAUGUCUUUAGCGGAGGCCGCCGGCCAAUAUUUUUUCCGGAGUGGUCCGUGUGGCCUUUAUUGGCUGUGCGGGGUCACUGCUCCGGACGUUUACUUUGAAAAAAUUAGAGUGUUCAAAGCAGGCGUUUUCGCUGUGAAUACAUUAGCAUGGAAUAAUGGAACAGGACUUUGGUCGUGUUUUGUUGGUUUUAAUGGCCGAAGUAAUGAUUAAUAGGGAUAGUUGGGGGCAUUCGUAUUUCGAUGUCAGAGGUGAAAUUCUUGGAUUUUCGAAAGACGAACUACUGCGAAAGCAUCUGCCAAGGAUGUUUUCAUUAAUCAAGA
RNAcentral lists this ribosomal RNA (400 nucleotides) under phytoplankton environmental sample. RNAcentral describes it as "partial small subunit ribosomal RNA". It matches the Rfam family "Eukaryotic small subunit ribosomal RNA", at positions 587 to 982 of the family's 1831-position model. The record is from RNAcentral.